Molecule: ribosomal RNA, 775 nt
Filed under: uncultured Neocallimastigales
Lineage: Eukaryota; Fungi; Neocallimastigomycota; Neocallimastigomycetes; Neocallimastigales
Description: partial large subunit ribosomal RNA
Rfam family: Eukaryotic large subunit ribosomal RNA
Source: RNAcentral
UACUAGAGUAGCACUCGCAUAUCAAUAAGCGGAGGAAAAGAAACUAACAAGGAUUCCCCUAGGUAACGGCGAGUGAAGCGGGAAGAGCUCAAAUUUGAAAUCUUAAAGGGUUUCCCUUUACGAAUUGUAGUUUAAAGAAGUGUUUUCUGUUGAGGUUUUGGUAAAAGUUCUUUGGAAUAGGACAUCAUAGAGGGUGAGAAUCCCGUAUUUGACCUUUACUUUCAACUUUGUGAUACACUUUCUAAGAGUCGGAUUGUUUGGGAAUGCAGUCCAAAAUGGGUGGUAAAUUUCAUCUAAAGCUAAAUAUUGGCGAGAGACCGAUAGCGAACAAGUACCGUGAGGGAAAGAUGAAAAGAACUUUGAAAAGAGAGUUAAACAGUACGUGAAAUUGUCAAAAGGGAAGCGUUUGACACCAGUGUUGUUUUUCUGAAAAUCAAUUAAAGAACUGUUUAUGCUAAGCUGUUUAGACUUUAUCAGCUAUCUGUUUAGUUUUGAGCUUUUCUUUAAUGCACUUUUCAGUUAACAAGUCAACAUCAAUUUCUUUUGCUGUAAAAAAGCUUGAGGAAGGUGGCUUGAGAUUCGUCUUAAGUGUUUAUAGCCUCUUGCCUAUGCAGUCGGAGAGAUUGAGGUCUGCAGCGUAGAUCCUUCGGGGCUAAAUGCAUUUGUGCUAAGUUAUAGCAUUUUAUAGACAACUUGUUGACUAUGAUUUGUCUUGUAGCUUACUCGCUUAUGUUAUUUUACCUACGCUUAGGAUGUUGAGCGCAUGUCUCUCUCU